Molecule: ribosomal RNA, 350 nt
Filed under: Hyalopterus pruni
Lineage: Eukaryota; Metazoa; Arthropoda; Insecta; Hemiptera; Aphididae
Description: partial 12S ribosomal RNA
Source: RNAcentral
CCCUAUUAUAAAAAUUUAAAUUAAUUUACUAAAAAAUUAAUAGUUAUGUUCUUUAAAUUUAAAAAAUUUGGCGGUAUUUUAGUCUUAUUAGAGGAAUCUGUUUAUUAAUUGAUAAUCCACGAUUAAUUUUACUUAUUUUAUUUAAUUCAUAUAUCGCUGUCAUGAAUAUAUUUAAAAAUUUAUUUUCUUUAAUUAUUUUAAUAAUUUAUGUUAAGUCAAGAUGUGGUUUAUAAAUAAGAAUAUAAUGGGUUACAUUAAAUUUUAUUUUUGGAUUUAAAAUGAAAAUUAAAAUGAAAUUGGAUUUAAUAGUAAGUUUAAUUAAUUUAUUAGUAUGAAUAAAGAUCUAAAUU